UACGAAGGGGGCUAGCGUCGCUCGGAAUCACUGGGCGUAAAGGGUGCGUAGGCGGGUCUUUAAGUCAGGGGUGAAAUCCUGGAGCUCAACUCCAGAACUGCCUUUGAUACUGAAGAUCUUGAGUUCGGGAGAGGUGAGUGGAACUGCGAGUGUAGAGGUGAAAUUCGUAGAUAUUCGCAAGAACACCAGUGGCGAAGGCGGCUCACUGGCCCGAUACUGACGCUGAGGCACGAAAGCGUGGGGAGCAAACAGG
Molecule: ribosomal RNA, 253 nt
Filed under: uncultured bacterium
Lineage: Bacteria
Description: partial 16S ribosomal RNA
Rfam family: Bacterial small subunit ribosomal RNA
Source: RNAcentral